RNAcentral lists this transfer RNA (71 nucleotides) under Bacteroidales bacterium. Its description in RNAcentral is "tRNA-Asp". It matches the Rfam family "tRNA". Rfam says of the family: Transfer RNA (tRNA) molecules are approximately 80 nucleotides in length. Their secondary structure includes four short double-helical elements and three loops (D, anti-codon, and T loops). Lineage: Bacteria; Pseudomonadati; Bacteroidota; Bacteroidia; Bacteroidales. The record is from RNAcentral.
CCGAGGUAGCAUAAUGGUAGUGCACCAGCUUGUCGAGCUGGGUGGUGAGAGUUCGAGUCUCUUCCUCGGCG